Molecule: transfer RNA, 75 nt
Filed under: Candidatus Magasanikbacteria bacterium RIFOXYC12_FULL_33_11
Lineage: Bacteria; Candidatus Magasanikiibacteriota
Description: tRNA-Arg
Rfam family: tRNA
About the family: Transfer RNA (tRNA) molecules are approximately 80 nucleotides in length. Their secondary structure includes four short double-helical elements and three loops (D, anti-codon, and T loops).
Source: RNAcentral
GCCUCCGUGGUGUAAUGGAUAACACAAUGGUCUUCGGAACCGUUGAUGUGGGUUCAAUUCCUGCCGGAGGCACAA